RNAcentral lists this ribosomal RNA (1345 nucleotides) under uncultured bacterium. Its description in RNAcentral is "bacterial SSU rRNA". It matches the Rfam family "Bacterial small subunit ribosomal RNA", at positions 28 to 1381 of the family's 1533-position model. The record is from RNAcentral.
GAUGAACGCUAGCGGGAGGCCUAACACAUGCAAGCCGAGCGGUAGAGUCUCUUCGGAGACUUGAGAGCGGCGCACGGGUGCGGAACACGUGUGCAACCUGCCUUUAUCUGGGGGAUAGCCUUUCGAAAGGAAGAUUAAUACCCCAUAAUAUAUUGAUUGGCAUCGAUUGAUAUUGAAAACUCCGGUGGAUAAAGAUGGGCACGCGCAAGAUUAGAUAGUUGGUGAGGUAACGGCUCACCAAGUCGAUGAUCUUUAGGGGGCCUGAGAGGGUGAUCCCCCACACUGGUACUGAGACACGGACCAGACUCCUACGGGAGGCAGCAGUGAGGAAUAUUGGACAAUGGGUGAGAGCCUGAUCCAGCCAUCCCGCGUGAAGGAUUAAGGACCUAUGGUUUGUAAACUUCUUUUGUACAGGGAUAAACCUACUUACGUGUAAGUAGCUGAAGGUACUGUACGAAUAAGCACCGGCUAACUCCGUGCCAGCAGCCGCGGUAAUACGGAGGGUGCAAGCGUUAUCCGGAUUUAUUGGGUUUAAAGGGUCCGUAGGCGGAUUUAUAAGUCAGUGGUGAAAGCCUAUCGCUUAACGAUAGAACUGCCAUUGAUACUGUAAGUCUUGAGUGUAGUUGAGGUAGCUGGAAUAAGUAGUGUAGCGGUGAAAUGCAUAGAUAUUACUUAGAACACCAAUUGCGAAGGCAGGUUACCAAGUUACAACUGACGCUGAGGGACGAAAGCGUGGGGAGCGAACAGGAUUAGAUACCCUGGUAGUCCACGCCGUAAACGAUGCUAACUCGUUUUUGGAUUUUCGGAUUCAGAGACCAAGCGAAAGUGAUAAGUUAGCCACCUGGGGAGUACGAACGCAAGUUUGAAACUCAAAGGAAUUGACGGGGGCCCGCACAAGCGGUGGAUUAUGUGGUUUAAUUCGAUGAUACGCGAGGAACCUUACCAAGACUUAAAUGGGAACUGACAGAUUUAGAAAUAGAUCUUCCUUCGGGCAGUUUUCAAGGUGCUGCAUGGUUGUCGUCAGCUCGUGCCGUGAGGUGUUAGGUUAAGUCCUGCAACGAGCGCAACCCCUGUCACUAGUUGCCAUCAUUCAGUUGGGGACUCUAGUGAGACUGCCUACGCAAGUAGAGAGGAAGGUGGGGAUGACGUCAAAUCAUCACGGCCCUUACGUCUUGGGCCACACACGUAAUACAAUGGCCGGUACAGAGGGCAGCUACACAGCGAUGUGAUGCGAAUCUCGAAAGCCGGUCUCAGUUCGGAUUGGAGUCUGCAACUCGACUCUAUGAAGCUGGAAUCGCUAGUAAUCGCGCAUCAGCCAUGGCGCGGUGAAUACGUUCCCGGGCCU